Molecule: ribosomal RNA, 253 nt
Filed under: uncultured bacterium
Lineage: Bacteria
Description: partial 16S ribosomal RNA
Rfam family: Bacterial small subunit ribosomal RNA
Source: RNAcentral
UACGUAGGAGGCAAGCGUUGUCCGGAUUUACUGGGCGUAAAGCGCGCGCAGGCGGCAGUGCAAGUAAGGUGUGAAAUCUCCCUGCUCAACGGGGAGGGUGCAUUUUAGACUGCACAGCUAGAGGUCGGUAGAGGGGGGUGGAAUUCCGCGUGUAGCAGUGAAAUGCGUAGAGAUGCGGAGGAACACCGAUGGCGAAGGCAACCCCCUGGGCUGACACUGACGCUCAGGCACGAAAGCGUGGGGAGCAAACAGG